This 571-nucleotide ribosomal RNA is filed under the name Clostridioides difficile. RNAcentral's name for it is "partial 23S ribosomal RNA". It matches the Rfam family "Bacterial large subunit ribosomal RNA", at positions 662 to 1240 of the family's 2925-position model. Lineage: Bacteria; Bacillati; Bacillota; Clostridia; Peptostreptococcales; Peptostreptococcaceae. The record is from RNAcentral.
GGAGCCGUAGCGAAAGCGAGUUUUAACUGAGCGUUCAGUUACUUGACGUAGACCCGAAACCGGGCGACCUACCCAUGAGCAGGAUGAAGCGAAAGUAAAAUUUCGUGGAGGUCCGAACCCACGAGCGUUGAAAAGCUCGGGGAUGACUUGUGGGUAGCGGUGAAAUUCCAAUCGAGCCCGGAGAUAGCUGGUUCUCCCCGAAAUAGCUUUAGGGCUAGCCUCAAGGUGAGAGAUACGGAGGUAGAGCACUGAAUGUCCUAGGGGGUAUUGCACCUACCGAAGACUAUCAAACUCCGAAUGCCGUCAUCUUAUACUUGGGAGUCAGACUGUGGGUGAUAAGAUUCAUAGUCGAAAGGGCAACAGCCCAGAUCGUCAGCUAAGGUCCCUAAAUGUAAGUUAAGUGGUAAAGGAUGUGGGAUUGCACAGACAACCAGGAUGUUGGCUUAGAAGCAGCCACUCAUUCAAAGAGUGCGUAAUAGCUCACUGGUCGAGUGAUCCUGCGCCGAAGAUUUCCGGGGCUAAAACUUACUACCGAAGCUACGGCAUCAGUAAUGAUGGGUAGGGGAGCUUC